AAUAAAAGUUUAAUUCACAAAAAUACAUCGACCAGUAUAAUGAAAAUGUACUAAAAUGUACUUUAAUAAUCCAUAAAAGCUGGAACAUCAUUGACAGAAAAACACAAGAAGCAUUAUUAGAGUUGGUUUAGUAUAAUAUAUUUCAGCUUCAAGAGACAUAGAAAUCAAUCCUUUUUCCCCCAUAUUUCUUCUAUAAAAGACCCAUUUUUUCUGAAGCAUUAUUAUGCAAAAAAUGGCAUUAGAAUAUAUUAUGGGAGCUAUGAAAUCCCAGUGACUGAGUAUAAAAUUAAGUCACAUCAGAGAGAGUUAUUUGCAGAAGAGAAGUCCAUGAACAACAGGGCGAACAAAGAAAAAAAUAUAUAAUAAAAAUAAUAAUACAUAUUAUAGACCUUGAUCUAUCAUCACUGACAUGACAGGCAUGGAGAAUAGGUGUAUGGCUAUAAAAAAUUUCUCACUUUUCCACUUGAUUUCACUUGAAAACAUCUACACGUAAUAACUGAUGCAUUUUUUUCAUGCUCGUUUUUGAAGAAUAUUUAUAAUCAUACAACUAAAGAGGUCAACUUCCAUGUCUUUCAAAUACAAUAUUGAAAAAGAUGAAAAAUACUGAAACCAAGUUCUAUCUUUGCUUUUCCUUCUUAAACGCUGUUAUUUUUCUUUUUGUUAAACUGUCAAAAAAAUGAAAAUAAGGGGCUGUUCUCUGGCCACGUAGGCGGCUCAUGGACACUCUUUUUUUUUUCUUUUUUUUUAAACUUUCAGAAGCUUUGCUGCAUUUUAUCAUCAUCAGUUUGUGGUGCUGUUUGUUGGUGCAGAAGUGGAGACUGUCCGUUCAGGGUUCACACUGAAACUGACACAGAGGAAGGUCCUCAGAGGCGAGAGACCAGAGUCUUCUCUUUCUUUCUUACUGUCUUUCGUUCUCUCUCUUUCAUUCUCUUGUGCGGAUCAUCCUCGUCUUUGAUAGGAGCAGUUCAGUCAGCUGAUUCACCGUUUAUGGCUGAUGGAGGGAGGGGGCGGGGCUGUUGGAAUGCUGGCACGUUCCAAUCAGGGCAACAGUUCUUCAUUACAGCAUUUCUGCAAGACAGCACACUGGUUAAGCCCUCGUUUUGAAGCAUCAGUGCG
Long non-coding RNA from Amphiprion ocellaris (clown anemonefish), 1116 nucleotides. NCBI's taxonomy places the organism in Eukaryota, Metazoa, Chordata, Actinopteri, Pomacentridae. The record is from Ensembl.